AUGUAUGGGACAUUUGUACAAUCCACAUAUGAAGAUAAGGAAGAAAGAGAUGUUUAUUUGCUGUCCAAAAAGUUCUCUCACGUCACUUUUGGCCUAAGAGAAGAUAGAGUCCAAGUCUCUCACGUUCUGGAUUCAGAUUCGGACUGCACAGACACACCUGAAUCAAAACGCACACAAGUUUUUCAUACGGACUCCGAAUUGGGUGAUUUUUUUUUGUUGGAAACUAGAUUUCGUGCACUUUCCAACCCAAUUGGAAUCACCUUCAAAUUCGUCCGGAGCGUUGAGGUGUGGACGAAACAAUCUGAUGCUGCAGCAGAAUCCGAGUCAAACUACAAGUCCAAAGGUGUUACAUCACCUCCACUUGGGCCCAUUGGCCUUGUACGACCUAGAUUUAGUUUUAGGCUGCCUUGGGACGUCCUCCCACCUCCUUGGCCGCCACCCCUUGCUCCUAUAUAA
This 456-nucleotide ribosomal RNA is filed under the name Triticum aestivum (bread wheat). RNAcentral describes it as "partial small subunit ribosomal RNA". The record is from RNAcentral. Lineage: Eukaryota; Viridiplantae; Streptophyta; Magnoliopsida; Poales; Poaceae.